UUUCCAUUUUUUUUGAGAAAUACGAGAUAUGCAUGACUUUUCAAUUGAAAUGUGCCGCUAAAUGAAACAUAACGUUUUGCAGAAGCAGGUGAUUUAUUGAAGACAAAAUUGGAAAAUUACGUAGUCCUUAUCAAACAGUAUUUAUAAAUAGAUGAAGUUUUUGCACAAUAAACAAAAAAGUUACAAGAAAGGUCUAAGAUUAUGAUCCUCUAUUGACCCUGAUUCUCGUGAGAUCCACAAUGGGUGACACCUGGACCGAAGACGGAGGUCGUCGGAAGCUUACUUCUCAAUAACUCACUUAUCAAUUUGGAAAUCUUUCUUACAGAAUUCAAUUUGUUUUGUUUAUUUUCCCAUUUGUGUUUAUCUUCCCUUGAUUAAAUUCUUUGCUAUAUAUAUAUGCUGACCACAAUAUGAUUCGAUAGGAUUUUAUUUUAUUUUAUUCUCAAACAACAUGAAAUAUUCUAUGUUU
Molecule: long non-coding RNA, 469 nt
Organism: Caenorhabditis elegans
Lineage: Eukaryota; Metazoa; Nematoda; Chromadorea; Rhabditida; Rhabditidae
Gene: linc-123
Product: ncRNA
Source: Ensembl